CCGACCGAUAGCCGCUACCGCCGCUGCCGCCGCCACCACCGCCGUCAUCGCCGUCUCCGUUUCUUCCGUACGCGGUUCGCGCGCCAACCACACGCGUUUCGGUCAGCCGACCGUUUUCCGCAUGUGACCGUUUCGCCCGUAGUACACGCCACUGCGCCAACUGCUGUGACGACCGGGUAGCCGUGCGACGUUAUCGUUUUGGUUUCUCUCUCUCCCCCCCUCCAAUUUAUAAUCGAGGGGAAAAAUCCCGAAGAAAAUCGCGUUCGCGCGACAUGAGUUCCGUGUGCGUCGCGUUUUCGCACUGGCGUUCCGUGCGAUACGUUUAAAAUAGCCGUCCGUUUUCCCGCCACGAAAAUAAAUAAAAAAAAAAAAAAAAAAAAAAAAAAAAAACGAUAAUUCGGCUUACGAAAAUGUCCGAAUCGCGAGACUAAUUAUUUUACUGUUCGUCACUGUGUAUACACGCGUAAUAAUAUUUUCGUCCGGCGGCGGGAAAGAGUGUGUUUUUUUUAUUUUUUCGCUUUUCGUUCUUGUGUCGUUUUUAGUGCCGUUCAACGACCGUCACCGAAAUGCUGAUGCUAUCCUGCGUGCUGAUGGUGCUGGUGUACACAGCGGAUAAAACAGGUCAGUCCAUAACAAAAUUAUUUUUGAUAAGAAUUAUACUUAUAAAUCGACGAACGUCUCGAGUUUAAAUUCUCACGAGUAUUAUGCGAUAUAAUAUGUCAUUAUUGAUCGGAUGUGUACAUUAAGUCUGUUUUCGGGCCUCUUAUAAUGUGCCGUUUUAUCCCGCGUAGAUGAAUGUAAAUGUUUCGGGGGUCGUCGAGGUCGUAGACGGGAAAAAUAACUUCUGCGGCGGAAGGGGGGGCGCGAGGCGUGUAUGGCCGUUACAUUUUUUUUCUCGACCAUCGGUACUUAACUGUGGUUUCGCUAUCUUUUAAGAUGAGGUGAAUUUUAGGCGAGAUUUUGUAUCCGGGCGUAUUUUCGUCAGCACCCCUGGACUUGCGCCCCCACCCCUAUAUUCGGACUCGUUGAUCGCGGCCGGCGCUACAACGGAAUUCAGUUAGGCGAAAACAUUAAUAAUCGGGUAUCGAAAUUAAUAUCGAUGAUUUCGGUACCUAUAUUUUCAACAUUUUUUAUAUAAUGUCGAAAACGAGAAAACUGCAGUAUUAUUUUUCGCACAAAUUUUCCCGCGGAGAUUUUUCAAUCAGACGAAACUUCGAAAUUUAUUUCGACUAAAACUUCGUAUCACAUACACUGCGUUUAAAUAUGGAUUUUCGUUUGAAUGUUGUAAAUUGCCCGUAAAAUAUCAAUUUCUCUUUUUCGAGAUGUAAAGAACAAUAAAUAGAGUUCGGUUUAAAAAAAAAUCUAAAAAUUACAUAUUGUCGCAUAUCGAUAAUCCGAAAGACUCCCAUAUGUCCACAUCGUGUCAACCGAACAGAUUGAAUCAAACACUUCGCGUAAACAACAAAUUCGGCGGCCGUCCCCGCGUUUUAUCGCGCAACGAACCACAAUAUAAUGGACGUCGAACUAUUAGCCACGACUUUAUCGUCGUUGCCAUCUGCAAUGUCGCGUAUUUGAUAAUUUUGACGACGGACGCGGAAACUUUUCGUUCUUAUCAGCGUCCGGAUAAUUGCAUUAUUAUUGUGAUUUUAAUAUCGACGCUAUACGAUUGAGGUGAACCUGAAAAACUCGAAAACUCUACGGGUCCUUUUCGUCUGUGCGGUGUCUUCAGUGUCGGCCUGGUCAUGGUCGCUGUAGGCAGUCAUCGCUGUCUAGGCCCCCCGAGCUUUUUUUUUUUUGUUCAUUACACUCCAAAUAGUACACAUGCACAUUAUAAUAAUACGAUUAACGUAAUAAUCUAUGCGUGUUGUUACAACGAUUCAAAUAUUAGAACUUUUUUUUUUUUUAUUGUUUUGCUUUUACUUAGGUCGAGUCCCUAGAAUCUCUCCUGGGCCCUUUGUUGCCGACGCUGAGUCUCUUGUAAACUUUUCCACAACAAACGAUUUUUCACAUAACUACGACGGGCCUAUGAUACGCGCGGACCCGGUGAUCUUCGCCCACCCUCUCAAUCCGGGCCCGGACAAGACGGCGGCGGCGGUUUACCGGAUUACGGUUAUUCUGAUUAAAACUCGGCCGCGAUUCUCGGGAAAACGAACAGCGGCCGCAGAGGUCCGGGAAUCUGUCGAGUGUCUCGUACGUAGAGUUACCGGCCGUGUCCGCCGCGCGCGCCCGGUUCACCGGUAUCGUCCCGGGGGACGGGCGGUUAUGAUCGCGGUUAGCGCGGCGAGAUUAUACGGUCGGGUUUAUUAUGCGGACGGCCCUCACCGAACGCGUCUCCAGAGGUCCGCGCGCACCACCCGGCAGACCGAUCCGCGUCGACGUCCGAAUAAUAAUAUUGCCGCGCGUCUGGAAACUGAUAAGAAUCGACCGCGGUAUCAGGGCCGGACUGAUCCGAUACGCCGUCUGGGGCCUACUUUGUCUAGACCACCGCGUCCGAUUCGGGCCAAUAAAACAGAUUUCAAUGUAACAGGAAUAAUUGUAGUUUGAUAGCGUAUUAUACUAUUUGUUUAUGAAUGGCAGAAAACCAGAAAAGUCACAUUUUUCCCAAUCCGAGAAAAACACGUUUUUAGUUUCAAAACGUAACAGAUAUUUUUUUGUUUUUAUAAAGUAAAAAGUUCGGAUUAAAUAGAACAUUAAACUUUGAAACCUUGAAAUAAUUGUCAUCAAAUAGGACGUGUCAUCAAAUGUGUUCCAACAGUUCUGUGUUAAUAGUUUAUAUUUUUUACUAUACUUUGCUUCCACGUUUGCCGACGGUAAAAAAAACACUUAUAUUAUUAUUGCGAACCCCGAGGAUGUUUGCAUCCAAACUAGUUGUCGUUCGAAAAACUGCUAGGGCAAUGAAGAAAGAAGGGCGGAGAAAUUAUCUGAUUAUUCAGUUGGCAUUGUGUGUGUUUAUAGGAACGAAAUUACUGUACAGCGAUUACGGAAUAAACCGCUAAGAAGAAAAUAUUGUAUUACGAUAUUCCUCAGUAAGAAUCACGUCUGUGAAGUUAGCCCCUCAACUUAAUUCAAAGUUAUCGAAAACUAUGCCCCCCUUUUUUAAGUAGUUCGCGAAAAUUUGCAAGUUAAUUUUUAUAAUUUGCAAGUGCAAAUUAUAGCGGUAAUCUGAGAUUUUCACUUUGAGGACUUCAUGCAUUGCCUUAACUUUAUUGUAGGAAGUCCAAACCAGUGUCAAAACAUUCCCUGUAGUUUGCAAGAGUUUGCAAGUCCAUUUUCAGAAUUUGCGAGUAGGUUGCCUGGCUAGGACGAGAUUUCAAUGUUUUGGCCCCUCAACUUUAUUCCAACAAGUCAAACCUGUGUCAAAACAAUCUACUAAUGUUAUAAUGACGUGUUUUUUGAUUCAUAAUGUAGCCAUAUAUAUUUAAUCAAAUAUUAGCUUUACCAUUUUAUCUUGCUAUUGACGAUAUUGCAUAGUACAUUAAAUUUUAUAAUUAUAAGUAUGUGUGAAGUGGUGAAGUGAUAACACCUUUUUAUUCCACUUUGAUUUAAACUAAUAAAAUAAUAGGUACUUUUUAAUUAGAAAAUUGAAUGUAGGUACCGUGUAAAUAUCGUCAAUGACGUGAUAAAAUACAUCCUACAUAAAGUACAUCCUUGGAGUCCGCAACAAUAAUAUAAGUUUUUUUUCCGAUUUUUUACCGUUAACAAACGCGGUAGUAAAGUACAGUAAAAAUAUAAACUAUUAGCAUAGAACGGUCGGAACAUAUUUGAUGACACAUUAUGGAACAUUUUAUCGAUCAUCGGUGAUAACGCAGACCGUGCAGGUAUUGAUGUCAAAAACGGUUUUACUCCGCACAGAAGAAAUUACAAUAAUAUGUACAUUAACUUAUGAUUACAGCUUCUGUAAUAUAGUGAAAGAAAAUCACCACGUGGGAGGAGGCGGGGGGGAAUGCCUCUAUCGUCACUCUCAAAUAUGCUAUCGGCCAUGUAGAUUUACGUGGUAAACGUCUUCUAGUUUUUACAUUUUUAUUCUGUGAUAAUAUUGUUUUCAUCGUGACCGUGACCGGUUGAAACAGCACGGAAAUCCCCGGGCGGCACGAUCGUCGUCAAAAUAAACGUUAACGCACGCCGAAAGUGAAUUGUAAACGGCAGUGGAAUGCCAAAAUGUUGUGUUUUUUUUUUUUAGGUAACUGCCUCAUGACUAAAAUCGAUGGGCGGGCGGGUCACUACAUAUUUUGAACGUCGAUUAGGUGCGGAGAUCAGAGAAGCUGCCUUCUUAGUUUAGUGAAUUACAUACGAAUAUGACAGUCCAUAUUUUGUAGCUAAUGUACCUAAAAAAGUAUUGGCUGUAAAAAAAAAAUUAUUUAUAGGAACGUAAAAUUAAAUACCGACAUUUUCGAACAUAAAAUUGUUAUAUGAAUCCAUACUUUGGCGGGUGAGCGGAUCCCAAUUGUUCUGUUUCCCCUUAAGUAUAAAAAUGUUCAGCACGCUACCGGUAGACUGCGGUUCGAUAAUAAUCGGUUCGUUUGUUUUUGAAACGUGUCGAAAAAAAGCCAAAGAAUCAUUAAAAUCUCCGCGUAGGCCGUGGCGUAUCUAUGACCGCUACGUUAUUCAUCUUUUUCGAAAAUUAAAAAAAUGAUAACACCGUUUGUUAACAUAUACUACUCGGUAUAACCUGUCUCAACAUUAUCCUGUUUCGGCGAUUGUGCGAGAUAGAGUAACUCAAUAACGUUGUAUUUGUAUUUCGUUUUGGGGUUUUUUUUUAUGAGAUACCAGAUAAAUAAAUAAAUACGAAUAAGGUGUUUAUCGAUUACUUAAUGUAUGUUUUGUUAUUUUUGUAAUGUAUAUGAUUGGCGAUUUUAAAUAUUUUUGAAAUUUUAUAUUUUGAGCGGAGCGAGGAAUGUAUUGGUUUUACAAUGAUUAUUUAAAAUAUUAAUAUUAUUAUUAUUAUUUUUUUUUUUUUAUGUAAACACUUUUUCUACCACAAAGCUUACUCCGAUUAUCAAGUAUAGCACUUUUUCUGAAAGAAAAUAUUUCACGGGUGGUACUUUAAAGAGGUCGUUUUUUGAAAUUCUAAUUAAUAUUUGGGGUAAUGAAGAUAAUCUGGUUCUGUAGGUUAAAAAAAAUUAAAAGAUUAAAAAUAAAAUUGCCAUUGGCAAUCGUUUUUAUUCAUAAUUUUUUAUUAUUUUAAUAUUUUUCAAACAAUCAUUGUUGUCAUGGAAAAGUACAUUGUUGUAAUCAUUUAACCAUAAUAUGACAUAUAUAUUGUUGACAAAGCAACACUAUCAAUUAAACUCCAUUCAAAAUCGUUUUUUCAUUAGCAAUUGUCUAUCGUUGCUUACAGAUAUAUAUUAAAUAAAUUCCCGUCUGCAACCUACCUUCCCAAAUUCCCACCCACACCAGUGGCUGCACCCACGUUCGAUGUAUGUCCGUCCUUUUUUCAUAUCACAUUGUUAAUAAUCUAAUGAAUCGUAUAAUUUCGCAAAAUAAAGUCACAUUUGUUUACGGUUGUAAUUUAUUUUUCGUACUAUUUUUUCAAUAUUUUCGGGUGUAUAUAUAUAUAUACAGGGUGACAUGUGGAGAUUUACCAUACGUACCUAUAUCAAAUUGAGAAAAGAGUAAUAUAAAAACCGUUAUUAUCCUACCACUUUAAAAUAAUAAAUCCUCGCGGGACGACCCCUCUGGUACAUAAUAUAUCAGGAUAGUGUGUCGUAAAUUAUUUUUUGAAAAAAGUGCACUUAAGGAAUUAUUAUAUAGUAUUCUAAUACUAACAAUUUUUCGCAGAAACUUUAUGGAAAUAAUAAAUUCUGACCGCUUUCUAAAGAAAAAAAAAUUAUGCGUAUCAGACACAUUGCAAUAUAAUAGUAAUCGUAAUUGGUUUUUUACGAUCUGCGCUUAUUUUUAGAUUCUAAGCUUAGCGAGCCUAUCUAUUAGUUUUAUUUUUUUCCCUCCUCCCCCCCUGUAAUUGAAUAAUUUUUCCUAUAAGAAAUCUUACUCCGAUUGAAUGACAAGAGAUCUUCUUCGUUGCGUUUUGAAUUUUUUAAGCAGGGCAUGAUAAUUGCUUAAAAUCAGAAAAAAACUGUAUAGGAUAACUGGACUAAUAUUAUUUACAUCGUUAACGAUUUCGCGCUUUUUUUUAAUUUUAACGUUUUUAAUUUUUCGAAUUGCUUUUCCUUCGUCCUCUUUUUUUGUUACAUGGAUAUAAUUAUUUGUAACUACGAGUGCAGGUAAUUAUAAUAGUUUUAUUAAUUGUCUAUCAAUUGUUUUAAAAUCGUUUGUUUUCUAUCUAUAUUAUGCUAUUUACUCUUGUUACGUUGUAUUUUUCGGACUAUUCCGUAUUAAUUUUUUAUCUGAUGGCCCUGAUGUUAUCCUUAUAGCCGAAACAUGUUAUAAAAAAAAAUAUAUAUAUAUAUAUUUAUACGUUGUUGUACAGCAAUAGUCGUGGCUUAUACGCUUUAUUUAUUUUAUUACAUAUUAUAGCUGACCCGGCAACGCUUUGCUAUUGCUAAAUAAUAGAGUAAAUAACAAUAACAAUAAUAGUAUUUUUGUCCGUAACAACCAAAUUGUCAUCCGUGUCACCAAGGUAACCCACUAAUAAACAAAAAUAAAUAAAUAAACGAUUAGAUAUUCAUACCAAAAACUAUUUUACCAGCUUAGGGGCUAAACUUUCAAAAAUCCUUUCUUAGCCUUCAUCCUAAUAUCUAUAUGCAUCUUCUAUCUGUAUCUUGGCAGUCUGAUUUGUCCAGCGGUUUAGGCUAGGAGAUGAUGAAUCAGUCAUUCAGUCAGGACAUGUUAUUUUAUGUAGGCAUACAGAUAAGUAUUUGAUCUUUUUAUUUUAAUUAACGAUUUAAUUAUUUUCCAUGUUUGUUUUCCACCAAAAAUCCCGCUCCGGAAUUAUUUGAAAGGAAACAUGCAGUUAGUGAGCGAGAGAGUCUGUUUUUUUUUUAUUUACAGAAUAAUUUUCUUAAUAGUAUUGUAUUUAUGAUUUAAUAAUUAUCAAAUUACAGUUAAAAAAUUGAAUUGUGUUAACAGUGGCAUAGCCAGCUUAAGCCUGGCCCUACAUACUUUUAUCCGAAAACUAACACAAUUUUAAAAUCAAACAUGCCCUAUUUAGUAGUCUAUACUAUUCAAAAACGUGUAUUUUUUUGUCUGGCCUACCCAGAGAAAUAUUUAUAGCUACGCGUAGACAAAAUUCUAAACCUAUUCUAACUAUGCAAAAUUAUAUAUCGCAGAGGUGGUGUGUCCUACUGGUUUUAUUUGACAACAUUUUUCGAACUGACAUCAAUUGACUGAGUUCCGUAUCGACUGUUAUUGUUAUACACGUUACGCAAAUAACACGUAUAACAACGCAAAUAAUCGUGGGAAUCACGUAGUAUAAAUUAAUUUUAUAAUUUGAGAAAAUAUCUUCCGAUAUGUAAUUUUCAUUUGAAUCAAUUUUUCUCCAAUUUUUUAGAAAAAUCGUUUUUAACAUCAUAUACUGCUUGAAAAAUACAAAAGUGCACGAAACACGCACUUAUACGAAAAGAAGGGCUAAAUAAUAGGUGAAAUAAAACGAAUUACCUUGACUUUAAGAAUAAUGAAACAAAUGUCUACAUAGGAGGGGCGGAUUUAGAGCUCAAUUUUGGGAGGUGGCAAAAGUACAAAUAUUGUGCUAAAAUAAAUAGUAAAUUAAAAGACCUUGUAAACUAAAACAUACUACUUUAUUACGAUGUUAGGGGAACAAAUUACUCCGUUGCCCUCUUCUGAAUCCGUCACUGCUACAUUGGCUCGGCUACGUUUUGAACAAUUAUCGAAAAUUAAGUCCAAAUUCCAGUAAGCCCCUUGCUUCAGACUAAAGUUCAUCUUUAUUCUUUAUUAAUAACUACAUUAAUAUUUAUAAUUACAAACAAAAAAUUGUUUUGUUUUUAUUUUUUUCUAAAUUUAAGAAAAUUCACCGAGUUAAUAUGAUUUGUUAAUUUAUUAUUCUAUUAAUUUAUACAUUCAAAUACUUAUUAACAUUUAAAAUGUACAGUAUUACACUAUUAUCACUAUUAUAAUAAAUUAAAAAAAAAAAAAAUGUGUAAUUCCUUAUGUCUUAGUCGUGUAAGUUGUAUACAUUUUAUUCAUUUUAUACAUUUAUACGUGUAACGAAUAAAACGUUUUAUACGCGUAUACUACCAACCCUGUUUAAAAUUACCCUGUACAUCCUGUCUUCCCGCGAGCGGAACAUUGUCGCCUUCGGUCGUUUCGAAGUGUAAACCACACGUAUGAUUUUAGAAAAUAAAAUUUUUCCGAGAAAAACUACAGGGGAAAAGUGUGAAAGUACCACAAACAGCAUAUAAAUCGUCCGUUGACAUCGUGCCUCGGUUAACGUGACGUGCGGUGUUCACGUGGUGUUCGGAAGUGCCCCCAGACACUGAUAUCGGCUGGAUGUUGCAGGAUUUUCAAAAGUUUCUCGUGUACAUAUGCUUACGAUGGCGGACUAAACGUAUCCGUAAUACCGAACUCGCGCUCGUCAUUUUUUUUCUUUUCUCCUUAGGUUUCUGUCGUUUAAUUACGGAGCUCAAACGAUCGUUGGAGGGUCGUUCGUACAGGGAACAUCAAGUACAAAAUAUACCUAUAUACAUACUAUAGGUAAGUAUAAAUUGUUUUCAUACUUUUGUCUCGAAAGUUUUUCCCGGCGAAAACAAUAUCAUAACGAAUCCUAAACCGUAUAAUAUCGAUUUUACAACGGUCUGUUUACAUUUUCAAAACGAAAGUUCCGCGGAAUAUUAUCGUAACCUCUAAUGUUUGAAGUUGUACAGCGCGCGCUUAUACGUACGAAACGCGUACACGUUAAUUAGGUACACGUAUGCGAUUUAGUGUACUAUAACGUUUUAGACGAACGCCAUUGCCUACAUAUACCGUCUUAGCGUAUCUUCAAAAAUAUAUCAAAGUUUUGGAGUAUUAACCGUUUAAUAGCCGGGCGCCGUCGUUUUAUACUCGAGCCAUAUAUUAUCGUAUAUAUUAUACGAUAAUAAAAUGUACCCGUUGAAAAGUUGCGACGUUUCCAGUUUGAACUUUGCUUUUAAACGUUUAAAGAUAUUUCAACAAAGUAUAGUAGAGUUUCCCUUUUGGAUUUUACGAUUAUCGGUACGCAUUCGUUCCUCGAGAAUAUAAUAUAAUAUUAUUAUGCAGUUAUUAUCACGAGGGUUAUCCGGCAUGUAACGCCUGUUCGCGAUUAUGGGUCAGAGGCAAAUUGUAGCGAUAGAGCUGGUAGCACUACAUCGAAGAAAGAUAAUAAUGAAUGUGGUGCUACAGCUCAAAGUAUCGUCGAUUUUUUCGGCGGAGACCUCUGUUUUUAAAUUUAAAAGUUUGUAUUGUCAGCAGGGGCAGCUGCGGUAAUUUUUUUGAUUGUUCGGUUGAUUUUGACGCUACUAAUUUGCGGUACCGUUCAUUCACUUUGUGAGAUAUUGCUUUAAAAAUGAAACGCUAUCAAUUUAAUCGCGGCAAUUUCCCUAUGAUCUGUAAUCUCGAACAGGCUUUACUUUCCGGAUGAUCCUCGUACAAAAAUGACGAGUAUCGUACGUACCAUUUUGUUCCGAACGGCCAGCUAAAAUGAUCAUAUUCUAUAUUCCAAACUCAGUUCGAUAAUAUUUUAUUGUUGCCGAAAUGUAUAGUAUUACCGAUUAAAUUUCCAUAGGAUCCAGCGUCCAAUUUUAACGAUUUUUCCGAUUUAUUAUCGGUAAUUUUCGUGCUUGUUUGCCGCGUAACUUAUGUUAGGAAUAAGCCACCAGUUGUAUUGGAUUAAUGUUGCGAUAGUUUUAUAAUCGUGUUUCACGAUCGGACGCAAUCUUAAUAGUUUUGGUAUCCGAAAACCAGGGGCGAAUCCAGGACAAGAAAAUGGGGGGGCGAGGCUUAGGGUAAAUUUGAAAUCGAACGGUGAAGGAAUCAUUACACCUUUCGGCCCCCUUAGAUAUUCAACCUCUAAUAAAUUUUCAACAGAUUCGUGGUAUAGUUGAAUUGUGUAGGGGCUAGGUUAUUCCCGUUCCGAUACUAGCGACCGAUUAUUUAUGUAUAAUAUAAAUACACUGAUACACGAAAACUGUUCUGCCUCCCUGUGUUUUUUUCCAAAAUAACAUUGACAUGUUCAGUGGAAAUGUUUGAAAGGAAACCAUAUUCUCUUCUGGAAUUAAACAAUAAUAAUAUUAUAAUACCUGCCUAUUUUCGGUAUAAAAAUCAAAAAUUGAUACCGUUGUAGUAAAUAACAAAGAAGAUGUGGCGAUUAUCGCAUUAUAGUUAUGAAACAGAUUUUGUUAUAAUUCCGUAAAAAAAAAAUAAUAAUAAUAAUAACAAUAAUAAUUUAGGUACACAUAAAUUAUUAAUUUGUGUUUCGGUGCAUAGAACACGAAUUCAUUUUAUUUCUUUAUAAAUGUUUUUUUUAAAUUUAACAGUUCUUCGGGGAGCGAUGUAUUUUCGAUUUCCAAGUUCUUUUAAACGCCGGACUUUUGUAUACUUUUCGUCCCGUAAACUUUCACAUUGUCUCUACUCGGUGACCGACAACACUGUUCCCUCUCGCCUCCCAGACCUGCAAACGCAGGUACACAAUACAAAUCUCAGUUUGCCUACAAUUAUACUUGUACAGUUUUUCAAAUCGUCUCAUCCAAGCCCAUUAGGAUAGGAUUUUAUAACAACUGUUCUAAACGAAACUUUACCGUGUGCAAUUUCAAAACAAUAUAAAGAAAAACACUUUGAACGAAUUAGUUUGUAUUAAAUAUUCGAUCGGUACAAACUAAAAAAAAAAUAUAUUUGAAAUAAAUUGCACGAUGAAACGAGAUUUACUUAUUUUGAUAGAUUAAACUAUUAUAGCUGUUUACAGUAUUUAUAUCGUAACAUUUUUUCGGUGUAGUAGAAAUAAUAUUCGAUAAAUUUUUUUAGCAGAGUGAAAUUAAUUCGUUUAUAUUCAUUCGGUCAAAUAAGUCAGUAUACUAUAUGUAUAAGCAUUAGACUGAAUAACUUUAAAUCUAAAUAAUAUUAUAUUGAAAAAGAAAUUUUAUUAAUUAAACGGUUUUUUAAUUGAAUUAUUGUGAGUUAUUAAAUUUAUUAUUCGGUUUGAGAAAUAUCAAUCCGUUUGAUAUUAUCACGACGUAUUUUUACAAAACCUAAUAAUUCGGUAUCAUUUUGGAUUCGGAGAAAUCUUGUUGCAUUUAUAAUCUGAGUAAGAGAAUAGUUUUUGAUUUUUUUUUUUUUUUGUAGUAUUUGUAAUAAUUAGGAAAAACCGGAAUGAAACACUAAAUGAAAGCUAACAAAUUUACAACGGUAAAAUUUCAUUAUUUUGAAUCUUUACGUUUUUCGUUUUUUACCAGUAAAAUUGCUUCAAUAGAAAAACCAUUACAGAUCUUUUUUAUUGGAUUUUUAAUCUAGAUGGUGACCAUAAAAAUUGAUUUUCGAUUUAUUUUUUUUGUAGUUUUUUUUUUAAUUAUCGAGUAAAAUCGAAAAAUGCGAAGAAAGAACAGGAACAUAUACGAAUAUAAUUAUUUUAUUAUUUUUAAUUUUAUUUUGUUAAUAUUAUUCAGUUAAACAUAUUCUUGAGACUUAAAAUUUUAACAAAACAUCCAUCCAUAUUCGCAUUUUCUAGAGGCUUUCGUAGACAUAGUAAUAUUUUUAAAACAUUGUGUUUGUAAGCUAUUUAUGAGUAAUUGAUAUUUUCGUAUUUUUACGUGCAUUUUUAUUUGGUAAGUAUCUUAUUAAAAUUAUACGACUUGAAAAUUUAACAAAAAGGUACAUUAUAAAUUAUACUUAAUGGUCUAAAAUAAAAUUUGAGUUGAUAUAUUAGUUUUUUUUUCAUAAAUGCAGCAAAGAUCAAAUUUUGUCGAAAAUCGUAAAAAUGACGAAAUUUCAUUAUAAUAUGACUUACCGAACUUCGUUCCGAAUAGUUUUUUUGUUAGCAAUAGUUCAUCUUUGUGUAUAGAUAUAAAUUAAGUAACUUUAUGUAUCCUAUCUUUCCUACCUCUCAUCAAUAAUAGUGGAUACACCCGUUCUCAGUAUCAUCUCUUUUCUCUUUUUUUUUUUUUUUUUUUUGGAAUUGAAAAAAAUAAAAGUAAAUACAAAUCCGUUUUAGCAUAUUUGAUCCGUAUUGAGUUUUGUCAGUAUGGCAGUGGUGUGCUUUACUGUACAUAAGAAGAUGUGCAUUUUUUACCCAAUAAAUUAAAAAAAAAAUUGAAAAAAUUAUGUUUAUUUUUAAAUUUUUUUUCUUCUGUAAACAACUUUUCUACUAGCAAUUUCGCUCUGAUUUUUAAUGAUAGCACUUUUUUUAAAAGAAAAUCUGACUGAGGAGGUACUUUAUGGAGGUUAUUUUUUGAUAUUCCCAGGAGUUUUCCCAGUAAAUGGGAAAAAUUGUAGGAAAAACGGGAAAACAUUAAACUAAUAUUUAUAAAGAAAUCAUUUUAUGCAUACAUGAUUAUUUUACCAUGACAUAUAUAUUGUUAACAAAACAACACUAUCAAUCAAACUUCACUUAGAAUCGUUUUUUGUCAGCAAUGGCUUAUCGCUGCUUACAGAUAUACAUAUUUCUCCUCUACUACCUUUCCAAAUUCUCACCUAUAACAGUGUGACAGUGGCUGUAUCAGUCUCCAUUAUCCCAGGAAAGCUUUUUCUUUAAUAUUUCAGAAAAUUUUCGAAGAUUUAGAAAAGUUUUUCUAACGAAAUAUUCUCACGCAAAAAUUUCGCACCUUUUGAUGGUCGACAUGAAUAGUAGUUAAUUUAACCCAAUCUAAUAAAAAAAAAAAGCGUAUUUCGAGAAAAAAACAACAUAAUAUAUUAAUGACACUAAUAGUUUUUUCAUUACACUCAGAGUCUAAAAUUAGAUAAGCAUUGAUUUUAUUCAAAUAACAUUAGAGGUAUGAAAUAUUAUGUAAACGAAUUACACACAUACAUUAUAAAACUAAGCCUGAGAACAUUAUAUUUAAAUAACGGUUGUUAAAAAUUGAAAAUUAACUCAACUCGAGACUUUAUCGAGUAAAUAUUAUACAAAUACUGAGUAUUAAGAAAAAAAUAAAAAUUAUAAAUUAAUAAUAUUUAUGAUUUGAGAAAAACUGUGAUAUAAAAACUUUCAAUCGUAACUAUAUACUAUAAUUUAUACCUAUAUAAAUAUAUAGUAAAUAUGUUAAUUAUAUAAAAAAUAUUAAUAAAUAUAUUUAUUUAUUAAUAACUUUGUUUACAGCGGCGUAUUGAGAGAGGUUAGGGCCUAAAAACUUCCCUUUAUUUGUAUGCAUAUUUUGUAAAUCAUUUUCUUAAGAACUCCUCAACAAAUAUCGCUGAUACGCCACUGUUUUCUGAUAUACCUUCAACUAUUAGAAGUUUAUAUAAACAUUGGUUUUCAAACAAAUGUACUAUUAACUUGAUCUAACCUAACCUAGCUUUACCUAUUCAGUACAAUUUUUGGAGGUUUUAACAUUUAAGUAUAAGAAGCGUUUAUUUUUUUUUUUUUUUUUUUAGAGUUUGGUAUAUUUGAUUAAAAUUUAAACCAUUGUUAACAAAAAAACAAUGCUAAGCGGAGUUCAGUUGAUAAUCAUACUUAAGUAUAUAAAAUAAAGAAAUAUAAUAUAAAGAUUAAUAGUUAAAAGAACAUAUUAUUAAAAUUAAAAUGUACCUUAUUUUAAUAUAACUCGGUCUAUAGUAUUGCUUUUUCAACAAUGUGCGUUUUCAUGACAACAGUGAUUGUUCAAAAAAGAUUAAAAUAAUACAAACUUGAUAAUAACAAAAAAUAAAUAAAAACGGUUGCUAAUGACAACUUUAUUUUUAAUCUUUCAAUCAUUUUUAACUUAAAAAACCAGAUUUUCCUAUUUAUCUCGAAUAUUAAUGAGAAUUUCAAAAGAUUACCUCUUUAAAGUACCACCCAGUCAAAAUUUCCUUUCAUAAAAAGUGCUAAAUAAUAUAAUUGGAGUAAGCAUUCUUGUAGAAAAAUUGUUCACAUAAAAAAAAAAAAAACAUCAUUGUAAAACCGAUAUAUGCCUCUUUCUGCUCAAAAUCUAAAAAAAAGAACACGUCCGAGAUUUUGGACUAAAUCUAGAAGCAUAUGUUUAUUGAUUUUUCUGUUUAUUAACGCGAAUUUCAAAGAUUUUUACAACAUUUCCCGUAAUUUUGUUUUUGUUGUAAUUGGGAAAAAUUAGCAAUCGAAGACGAUAUCACCGGUUUAUUUAUAUAAUAUGGCACGCUCUGAAAUUUUAGUCUUAGACCGACAGAUUACGUCGGAUAUUUAACUUUCAAUGACUGUAUACUUGUACUAUCACAAUCAUACUUUUUGGACAUUUUGUAUUUAUCUUCGGUUCAUGGUUCCCCCGGGUCGCCGUGGUUACACGAAAAACAAAACGGAGUCGUUUUUUUUGGCACGGGGUUUUCGUGAUUGUUGUUGAUGUUUUCAACGGAGACUCGUCUUGAUUUUUGUCGGUUGAUUAUCACGACUGUACGCGGUUCUCUAUACAGUGUUCCAACUAUUAUAGUGUAUAGAUUUUAGAAAGAUAAAAUACUCUAUACAUCGAAGUGUAUAUACGUUGAUGUUUUAUUGUCGGACAGGAAAAACCAUUACGUUCUUCUACCGAAGGGGUCGUGUUGUAUAUAUGUACGUAUAUAUAUAUAUAAAAAAAAAAAUAAAAUAAAUAAUAAUAAAAUGAAAAAAAAACCUCCGAAAUAAAGUGCCUGCGACCAGUGCGCGACACAAAUCACACGCGAAAAACGUUGGCAGUGACUUUACAGUCGGUUUCAUAAAUAAUUUUUUUUUUUUUUUGUCUUUUUGUUUUAUCCCUCCCACCACUGUCGUCCACCACUAUCGUACACCACCGCCACCAACGCCAACAGCGGCGGUGGCAGGAGCAGCAGCAGCAGUAGCGGCAGCGGCGGUAGCAGUAGAAGCAGCAGGCGUGUUCGAUAUCCGUCGUCCCCGCGUGCUUCCGCCGCCGCCGUUCUCUCUGGCGGCCGGUCUUCGAACCUCGGCCAUAAAUCUUACGGCCGGUGCACCCAUAACGGUCAAAAAUGAACGGACGACGGGAAAACCUUUUCCCGUAAUGGAAAAAAGUGCAAAAAUAAUACAAUACGCCGGAGCGGGCGGGGGCGCCCGGCGGCGGUAAACUUUUCGUUCGAUUUAGGGCAUUCGUUUGACCGCGGGGGAUUCGCGGACGAAUGAUCGGCAGCGGCUCGGCGGCGGCAACGGCGAUGGACGGACGGCCGGCGGCGGCGGCGGCGGUCGCUCGUAUGCGAAUAUUGCACGCGCGCGCGGUUAUGUAGAGCCGAUAACGACGAUAAAUAACUCAAACAAUCUCGCGCGACGCGUACGCGCGAGGUAAAAAUGAGCCGGGAAAUUUCCGUCCCGACAGGGCGUUUUCCAAUUUAACUCGGGCGCGCGCGCGCGCGCGCACGUUCACCGCGUAUCGCCGCCGUUACGCCAUAACGCGGUACGUAGUUCGCGUGAUUUAUUUUCGGUAUAUGAAACGUCGUCGUUUCGCCGCUCGUACGCUUACGAAUACAUUUUCGCGCGGGCAAGUUUGAUUAACUGCCGUAUGCACUGCCGGUUUGUUGUGCGCAGUUUGCGACGCCGGCCCCGUCGUCGUCGUCUGCGGUGGUCAUCGGGUCGCGGGUACGGGACUCUAUGUACGCGCACAGGGUUUAAACGUUUUGCUCUUGCAGCGCGUCAAGUGUCACACGUCACCGUACGGAAAUCAUGUUGUUGUACCGGGUGGGGGAGGGGGGGUGGAUAUUGCAUUUUAGAUCCUGGGCGGAGCGAGGAACGUAUUAGUUUUUACGAUCUACCGGGGCGAUUGCUCCGAGUGUAGCGUUUUUUUCUAAAAUGGAAUUCUGAUCGGGGGGAGGGGCGUACUUAAGAGAGGUAGCUUUUUAAUUUUCUCGAUAAAUAGGGAAAAACGGAGGAAAAUAGGUACGAUGUUAAAAAAAUAUUAUUACAGAAAAUAUACAGGAUGAUUCGCCUACCUAAUUUUUUCGGUUGAAUUUUGUAUGUAUUCAAAUUCUGAUGCUUGGAGUUUUUAAGUAUAGUUAAAGCUGAUAUUUAUUCAAUAUUUUUAUUUGUUUAUUUAUUUUAAAUAAAACUCGGUGUCAACAUUUCUGAUUUCCGCCAACCCGUUAUUGAGAUAUUCCACUUUUAAGUUUAAGUAGGAGGAGAACGUGGAGUGUUAAUAUUGUUUGUGUGGUGGCUCGGCGUGCAGCGUUUUGUUAGUACUCCACUUUUCUCCCCAUAUAUGAAAACUUAAAAGUGGAAUAUCACGUUAACGGGUUGACGGAUAUCGAAAAUGUGGACACCAAAAUGUAUUUAAAGUAAUUUUUCGUUUAUUUAUGGAAUUUGUAAUAUAGAUUAUCAUUUGAAAAACCAAAGUUGGUGUCGCCACAGGAUUAAAUGUCGUAAAAAAUCUGUGUUCGAAAAUAUCGGAUUUAACAACAUUUAAAAAUUCAAAAACUUAGAAUUUGAGUAUAUGCAAAAUUUAAUAAAAAAAAAGAAAGAAAAAAUGGGGCACAAUUAGUGAAUCACCCUGUAUAACGCAUAUGUCAUUAUUUCACCAUAUUAUGACGACAUAUAUAUUGUUGACAAAGCAACACUAUUGACCGAACUCCGCUCAGAUUCCUUAGCAAUUUUUAAUCGUUGCGUACACAUAUACAUUGAAUUCCCCUUCAACAUUCCCAGCUUCUCACCUACAACAUUGGCCCACCCAUCGUGCGAAGUAUGUUUGUCUUUUUCGUUUUUUCUUUCCAACCAUAGUACCUAAUAAAAGUAUGGUAAUAUUCGAAAAGAAAAAAAAAGUCUCGUCAAGGCCACGAGACUCCGAUGGUCGUAGUUUUCGCCAAAGCUUUAUAUACAUUAUCCGCGCGUUUAAUCAUUGAAAUUGUACUUUGUUAUUUUAUUACUUUAUAAAUAUCUUUUUCGUUACCUGAAUACGAUGUCUGACGACGAUUCAGUGGAGGCUAUAUAUCAGGAGUUUUGAUAAACACACAUUCAUUUGUUUUAAAAAUACUCGUGUCUUUUUGAUGUAUAAUUUAUAAAUUAUUUUUUGUUUUUCUCUUGUUAAAACAUUGUCAUAUUGAGCCAUAAUAUUAUAAAUUUUGUUCAGUUUUAUUUAUUUAUUGUGUUUUUUUUGUAAUUUUGUGUAAGAGCAUAUUUCUGAAAACUUUUUUUUCUGAUUUGGUGUAUUCUAUAUUAAGAAGGUUAUUUUUUGAUUUUCCUCGCAGUUUUCUUUAUGAUUUUCACAUUGUUCCUAAACGUCUUAACCUGGGCUUGCACUGGCUUCGAAAACUAGAUAUUAAAAUAUACGAUAUAAAUAUUGUAUAGGGUUCAUAAUCGCAUUAUUCGAUACAUUACAACUAGCGAGUCGAUUGUUUUCACGUUAACCGAGACAAUAAUAAUUAAUUCAUAAACUGUAGUGUACCUGUCGAGAUUCGAAAAUAAUUAUAUACCUACCCGGUUACCUAUAAAUCAAUAAACUCUAUAAUAAUUUAUUAAUAUCUAUCAUUGUGAAACGUCUACACUGCCCUGUUCGCAAAUUAUAUCAUAUCAGUGGCGUAGUCUGGAUUUUGUAUUUGCCGGGGGUUGGGAACGGGGUUAAAUGUUAGGAAAAAAAAUUAGGAAAGUAUUUUCAUCAAUAUACAUUUUAAUUUCAUACUUUAAACAAAAAUUGAUAGGAAAAAAAAAAAAACUUAAUAAUGGAAGGAGAAUAUAAUAUUAUAUCUUUGUGUACCUAUCUUGCAAGUAUAUACUAUAAUAUAGGUAGGUAUUAUAGAAUAUAAGUGUUUGAAACGUUCACUAAAAUCAUGAACGCAUUCGUGGUCAAGUUUAUAUUUUGAAAAAAAAAUAGCGUUCAAGUUCGUUGAAAAAAAUUGACUGAAUUCAAUUCAGAAGAGGUCGGUGUCCUGGGUAAAAAUGAGUAAGCUUCAAUAUGCGUAAUAAGGCGUGUUAUUUAACAAUUCUGGUGAAUGUUUGACAGCGUUGUAACUUUUUAGAGACACAGAAUAAUGGUUUAGUACAUUGAGACGUAUUCUAUGGUUUGGUAACAAUAGAAGCAUCAGUGAGAUAGAUAAACAGUACUAGCUGCUAUCUUGAUAGGGAUAACGUUUCUAUACAAAUUACAAGCGAUGUCGUGGUAUCUUAAAAUUUUGAAUUGCAAUCACGUACUAAGAUAAUAUGGAUUGGCAACGGAAUCAAAUUCGGUCGAGUUUUGAAAUUGAAUGUUUGUUGAGCAGAGAACACAAAGAUUGAAUCAAAAAGAGAUAAAUUAUAUCACGCUCACAUUAUCGCAGCCUAUUAUGUUGUUUAGUUUGCGAUAGCACCGCUAAACCGUCGCGGUUUUUGAUUUUAGUGGCGUGUAAUUUUCAGAAGAUAUGAACCGUUGACAUAAUUAUUAUCAUUUCCGGGGAUUUUUUUUAUCAUAUGAAAGUUAAAUGAAUGAAAAAAGUCGUUCUCGUUUGUCUGAACGCGUUAUUUCCAAAGACUGCAGAACAUACAUCCAAAGCUGAUAGCUGUAUCUUCCUGUAAGAAUUUUAAUUAAAUACAGUAAUUAUAUUAUUUUCGUAUAUUCUUUUUUGAGUUUACUUUUUAAACUAGUGUAUCACCUACCUAGUUAAAUCGUUUUUAUACGUAAAACAUAUCUGAUAACAUUCAAAUCUUUAAAUAGUAUGCAUACAUUAUGCAAAAUACAUCAAUAGAUCUCUUAAAUUCCCUGGCUAUGCUUCUAUACCAUUUUGAACGGUUUCGAGAAAAAAAAUAUUUCUUUUAAAUUUGAUAAUUUUUUUAUUAAAGAUAAAAUUUACUAAAUAAUUAACACAACUUCCAUAAAUUAUCACGCAGUAUCUCAUAAAAUACUUUAAAUUCUGAAUGUUUUUGUAUACAGCUUUCUUAUUUAGACGUUUAGCAUAAAGUAUGCUGAACUAUAUUGAUUUUAUUGAUGCACACAUUUACAAAAAAUAAACAUCCAAAAAAACAAACAGUUCUCUUGUUUUACUUAAAAUAUUAAGUACUUAAUUAAUUUUAAGUUUACAUUUUAUAUAGUUGUAAAUGUUAAAUAAAAAAAUGGGAAAAAUUAAUUUUAAUAAUCUACAUCAGUUAGACGGCAAUAUUCAUAGUUUUCCCCCUUGCAUCGGUACAAUCGGGUCUGGAUCGAUUAAUGAACAGGAAAAGCCUGUUCAGCAUUUUAUUGCGAAGUCAUUAUUAUUAGUUUUUUUUCUCUUUUUUUUAAGUUUCGACGGAAAACAAUUAUUUAGCCACAGCUUCGUUAUGACUAAAAUUUGUUCCUACAGUACCGAUAAUAUUCCGAUAGUACACGUUUCCAUCAAAACUUUAUUCAUUAACGAAUAAUAAUCAUUUAAAAUAAAUUAGGUACCUACCGUUGUCUAACUAAACCGAGAAGUGCAAAGUUAGAUGAGUAUUCAAUAUUAAAAUAUAAUAUAAUUAUCGAUGUGCUCCUUUAUUUUUAGACUUUAAAUACAAUUUAAACGAAUAGUCAAAAUCCGUCAAAUUUUUUUUCUGGGUCAUCUACGAGUUGAAACGUAUAAACGAAUUAUAUACAUCGGUUUAAAAAUAAAUUUACUUAACCGGACGGAUGUAAUAUUUUUUGAUAAAUAUAGAACAUUUUCCAAGAGGGUUCCGCUUUUUUUUUUUUUUUUGUAAAUCCAGGACUGAAAAUAAUACUUAUAGUUUUUUUGGGUAUUGGCUAUCAUUUUUGAUUCAGCCAGCGGUCGUUUUUGAAAUGUAGUCAAAACUACAUAAUGAUUGUAUUGAUUAUACGGGUCGCAGGUCCCGUAUAAUUUUAUAACCUUUUUAAACCUCGAAAACGAUAAGUCAUUGCAAUAUUUCGAAAACGAUUAUUAUGAGCAGCAGAGUUUCCUAUGAAAUAUUUUACGGUGCUUAUUGGCUAUAAUACGGAGGGUUUAUGACUUUUUUUUUAGUUUAGCUUUACAUCUUGUUGUAGAUUUUUAAAACGUUCUCGACAUUUUAUAGACAUUCAAAUCAAAACGUUAUCGAAUAUAUUAUUACGAAGUAUUAUUGUGUACAUCUUUAUAUACUAAUUUUGUUUAGAUUUUUAAUUUAUUAAUUAUUAUGUCUCGAUUACUUUUCACCGUCAGCGGGGGCAUACCGAGACCGAAAAAAUCACUGAGAACUAGAUCUAGAGUAGCCACAGACGUAUAUUGUUCAAUCUCCAGAUUUUCAUAAAUUAUAAUAUUCAACACUUAACUUAAUUGACAAAUUUUUUUCAUGUAAAUAAGCAACGCGGUGGUUUAGCCGUUUUAAUGUGUGGCGCAGGCCUGACAGUGGAUCGGAGAUAUUACUUUGGUAAAGUAAAGGAAAGUAAUAGAUAUAAAUUACUGUAUUACUGUACGAGUAAUUUAUUAGAUUAUGAGUGUAGCAAAGAAUGUAUUGGUUUUACAAAGAUGUUUAUUUUUUAAUUUUUUUAUGUGNCUAAAAAAAUUGACAGGGGAGGUACUUUAAAGAGAUCAUUUUUCGAUUUUCCUACGAAUUUUCCCAGGAAAUUUGAAAAACCGGGAAAAACGUAGAAAAAAUGGGAAAAUCGGUAAAAUAUUAAACAAAUAUAAUUAAAGAAAAUAUCUAGUGCUUAUUUAAUUAUUUAAAAAUAAUAUGUCAUAUAUAUUGUUGACGAGUUUAGGAAAAAAGAGCAAUAUAUGUAUUUUAGGUACAAUACAUAAGGUAUAUUAUAAUAUAAAAAGUAAUAUUAUUGGUUAGAACUGCAUAUUAUAUAGUACCAUAUAAUAGGAACUUAAACCAUAUUUUAAUACCAUUGAUUAUAUUAUGUAUUCAAUGAUAUUAUUUUAAACAUUUUCAUAAAAAUAAUUAUCGGAGCAAAUUAUCGAAAUCUGCCGUCCAUAAUCAAAUGUAACAAAAAUGACAACUUUUUUUCAAAAAAAAAAAUUUUAACAAAGCAUCACUAUAAAUUAAGUUCCGCUCAGAAUAUUUUUUUUCGUUAGCAAUGGUUUAUCGUUGCUUUCUGAUGUACAUAAAAUUCUCUUUUAUAUCCUACCUUUCCACCAAAAUGCCUACAACAGUGGCUGCACCCGCGUGCGAAGCAUGUCCGUCUUUUUUUAAAUUGUUUUAGUUUAAUAAACAUUAAUAUUGUUAUUAGAUAAUUCAUAGUUCUUGGCAUGGAAAAAAAAAUAAUAACUAUAUCUGUAAUACAAAUUUUGUAUACCUAAAAUGAUUACAAAUUAGAAUGCAUUAUACAGGAUUACAAGAAGGGAAACACAGUUAUAGUUUAUAAUAUCUGGCUAUAGGUAUUUUAUAUUUAAAAAAUAUUAACAAUAAUAAAUAAUAUAAAUAAUAUUUAAAAAUAUAUUCAAAAGAUAAAUCAAUUUUCAAAUAUUACCGUGGAAAAUUAAUAGUUUACCGAAUGUCUUAAAAUAAACUACUGGUAAAUUUACAUGACUGCGAAUUCGAAUAGUUCAAAAUGAUAAUACGAUGUCUUGUUUUUUUUUUCCCUCAGCGGUUGAAUACCGACACAAAGUAUACCCAUUGUUGGCCCAUCUUCAGGGUCGAUAUCCGUGGGACAGUUUUCCAAGAAGCACCUACCUAUAACUUUUUAUACAUAUAUGUAACUUUUAAUUUAUUUGUAUCUAUUUUUAGAAAUCGUUAUUGUUCGUAUAUAUUAAUUGUUCUAAGAAACGAAACGACAAAAUGUAAAACAUACUAAUAUAAUAUUAACGCAGAAACGGACUAUAUAAUACGUACGUCAUGUUCACCUUUAUAACCCGAAGUUUGUCGACCUUCAGUCUUCCUGCCGAAGACUUCCGAGAAAUCUAUAUUUAAAUACCCGACCGGAUAAAGAUUCCAAAACUUACACGAUAAUACUAUGUUCUACAGUCUGCACGGUGAAAUUCUUUCGCGAUAAUGAUCCGAAGGAUUUCCUGGCGAAUUAAUUAAUCUUAACCCAUCGUUGGCAAAUACGUGAACGCGGCGAAAUGGCAAUCGCACAGUAAUAGCAUUUUAAAUCGAAAUUUCAAUACCAUAGAACUACACAAACAUAAGAGAAAAGCGACGGCAAAUAUUAUUAUAUCCGUGUGUAAACACAAUUAUUUUCUAUCCGUUUACCAAUUAUAUUAUGAAUACAAUUUUAUAUUGAUUAUUAUCCUUAAGAGGACGUCAUACGUGAUGUCUCAGUCUCAACUAUCGCGUAACAUGCAAACAUAAUGCUGACGCCGAAUAAGUAAAACUAGCUUAAUUUUGAUUUUAGAGUAAAAGUACCUAUUAUAAUAUAAAAAGAGGAUAAUAUUCCGGAGGGUACGUUUUUCAUAUUAUUUUAACUAACAUUCCGAAUAUAACGUCCAAUAAAUCGUUUAAAAUUAAUAAAGACCUAAUAUUCGUCGUUUUUAAAUGACUGUAAUAUUUUAAAAAAAGAAACGUCUCGCCUUCCGGAAUAAUGUCCUAAUUUAAUUUUAUAGUAGGUGUUUUUACAUUAAAAUCAAAAUUAAAGUGAGUUUCACUCAGUAUGUGUAAGGUACCUAUAUGAAUUUGCUACAUUGCCCGUCAGUUGAACUGAUACCGUAGAUGCUGGCAUAACCGUCCUCUUAAUAAUAACACAAAUAUCUCAAAUAAAUUAUUUUUUUUUUAAUUAGGCACAUGGCCCGCCGGGACAUUUUGGGGGCACUAAUAAUUUUUAUUAUUAUAACAGCUAUUUUAUUGAAUGGCCAAAUACACAAAUCAAUCAAUUUGUGGCGUCUCCGGGACCCUAGGGCAGUGUUGCCUCCUUUACUCCACCUCUCUAAGGAUGGUCCUGGGAGAGUUUGGGAGGCACGUACCUCCAGUGUCCUUCCCUCCGGUUACAGCACAGAUAAAUAGUAAUUUGUUUACUAAAUCAUUAUAUACCUAAAUAUUUUUAUAUUUAAUAAUAUUAUAAUAUACUGUCAGACUGCAAACGUUCGAAUAUUUAAACAGUGGUGUGCAAAAAGCUCCUUCUAUAAAUACAAUUAUAGUAUGGUGGACAAAAAAAUAUAUUUUGUUUUUUUGUUUAUUGUAAAUACUUUCUUUAAAUAUCAAAUCUUUUGAAAGGUUUUUUUUAAAUUUUAUUAUUUUAUCGUAUGCGAGUGGUUUAUUUAACCAAAUAGUUAAUUAUUAUUCGUAGACAGCUUAUUCAAAUUAUUAUGAACGUCGUUGGGGUAAUCCGAAAAAUAAUGUCACUCAAUUUAUUCAAUGAAAAUCAGACUAUUAUAUACAAUUCCGGAUAAUAUUGUGCAUUUGAACAUUUUAACUUGAAUGUUUGUGUAUCCAAAAAAAAAAAAAAACGAAAUAAGACAUUUUCUUUAUUCUCGUGUAAAAAUGUUUCUUUUCUCGUUUGCCAUUAAAGGUGCAAUUGUAAAGAAUGGCUUCUGUAUGCAUAAAUGAAUUGCAAAGUUCUUUUUAUUUUUUUUUUUUUCCUAUUGUAUAGGUGGUAUGAUUUUUUUUCUACGUGUGUUUAUAUAAUAUCACAAAACGUAUGUUGACUCAGCCACUUGUAUACGAAAACCAAAGCGGUUUUUUUUACAAAUAUAUUUAUACUCUAUGAAAAUAAACAAAUACAAUUUUUUUGGGAUUUAUCAAACGGAUUUGAGUUGCUGCAGGAUACUAAUAAAUAAUAGGUGGGCAUGUUGUUUUAUUUAUUUUAUUUUUUUUCGAAGCCAUUUAUUUUUUACUUCAAAGUUAUAUUUCUUUAAAGUAUUAUGGUUUGUGUUUUGUGUGGUAUUUUUCUUACUGGAAGUAACUGUAUGGAAUAUAAAAAUAACAGAAACUUCACUUCUGCGAGCGUGUUGGUCUCAUCAUUUUUUAUAUUAUCUUAUCUGUCUGACAAUUGAAACAUAAAAGGCGUUUUACGGGGAAUAACCGAAUGUAAAUAUAUUUUAUAAAAAAAAGUAGUUUUUAAUUAUUACUUUGGUUAUAAUUUUUGAUUACAGGUUACUGAAAUAUCAUAAACAGUCAAAAAGAACGGUUAUGAUGUUUAGUUGUGGAUAAAGUAAUGAUUAUAAAUAUUCAGUCAGUACUUUUUCUUUCAUAUUUUUACGAUAAUAAUUCUUAAUUCAAUUUCUUGGUUUUUGAUUCCGUUUCAUAUAAUUAAAGUAAUAUUAAAAUAAGUGGGAACAUUUUUGAAUUUCGUAUUGGUAAGGGCCUGAAAAUGUAUUCAAGUGACAACUUUUUGUGUAAUGUUUAAAUUAAAGGCUUAGUUAUGUAUAAAUAAAAACCAUAUUCAGUAACUGAAACAAAUGAUAGUUACUUAAGUUCCAAAAAGCAUGUAUUUGCAGAUUGUGUAAACCGUUUAUUAUAAUUUGUUCUUCUAUUGAUACAUGUUUGAAUUUGUGAAAAAAGUAAAACAGUCAAUACAAUAAUAAUUAAAUAAUAAAUUUAUGCAAAGGCUUAAGAAAUACAAUUAUACUAUCAAUUAACAUUAUUUUUAAUAAUCGUAAUAAACAUGUUUAUUUUCUUGAAUCUAUAACUAUUAACCAAUAUCAUAUAACCAUGUCUGAUAGCGAAUAUAACCAGGUUAAUCACCAAAAUACAAAUUCUUUUAGAUUAGAUCUAUAUAAUAAAAUACAUAUAAUUGUAUAUAUAUUCGAAAAUUGUAGAACACAUAUUUUUGUUUAAUUAUCAGUAGACACUUUAGUAAAAUACGAAAAAUUAAAUACAGUAUCUAUAUAUGAAAUGAGUUUCGCUGCUAAUAAAUCAAAAGUAACAAGUAUAUCUUUAAUUUUCACGUUUAUUACUCAUACUGUCAUUUUGGGGUAGUCGUGGGUUAUUUUCUUGUAUAGUAUUUUAUAAUAAUCAACCGCGCAUUCGUUUUCGUAACGCGAAAUGUCAAUUUGUUUUGGCCAAUCAUUUUGGAUAUUUGCCUAUUUUGAAAUGUGCAUUUCGAUAUUAUAUGAUAUUUCGCAUAAUAAAUCUUAGCUCUUCGGCGUGACGUUUUAUUUAUGUGGCCGUCGGAAUAAAACAUCAAUUUAUUUCGUAACACCCGGUAAAAAGGGGCAAAAUAUUUAUACACAUAUAAAUAUCUGCGAUUUUUCUUCCUUGGUGCCCAUACAAUUUUGUUUUGGAACUCACUAAUGUCACAUAUUGUAAUUUUUCUGACAAUAUGAUAAACUCUAGAAUGAUAUACCGUUCAGGAAAGUGUAAUAAUGUUAUAUUGUGGUGCCUAUAUACUUUUUAUAUUUGUACAUGCAUCUAGUUUAUUAUUAUACAUUUCGUUGUAAAACGCGAAUUUAAGUUCGAAUUCAAUGGCAAACGUAAUGCACGAAUACAUAAUAGUAUAAUGCAAUAUAAUAUAUUGUCGUGUGUACAUAUAGAAUAUAAUAUCGAAAUCUUUGACGUAAAUUGAGCCAAGAUUUUUAAUCCAAAAUGGACGAAUUUCUUAAUAUCAAUAAAACACUUAUCCAUCAGUACCUACAGUUUCAAUCGUGUAUUUAAAAAUCUAGAAAACAAUAUGAAUAGUUGUUGUUUUAAAGACCAGUAUAAUUUGAAAAAUAAUUCAAAUAUUUAAUGUAGAAAAUUGAGUUUGACUCUGAAUCGUUUUUACAUUUGUUCACUGUUUUAUAAAGUUUUUUUGACUUUUUAAAAUUAAUGCGAGGCUUUCCAUUUUGUUUGGUAUUCCAUUCAAUAAUGCAAGUUUUUUUCACUAACAAAUAAAAAUACAUAUCAAAGCUUUACAUUUCUGACAUUGAUUAAACUUUUGUCUUUGACACAUUUUCAAACGCAAAGGUAAUAAUGCAAUAUUUAAAUGGUAGCGAAAGAAAGAAAAUCUUAUAGAAAUAGAAUGACAACGAUAUUGUCAAAAAAGUAAUAGAAAUUUUAAAUUUGUAUACACCUACUACGGGAGUUUAUAAAUAAUCGUACAUUAUAGAUAAAUUGGAUGUAUUUAAAUUUACCUAAUUUACGAGAUUAAAUGAUAGACAAACAAAUUUAUCAUAAUAUAAAAUGCCGUUUUUGUAUAUUAAAAUAUUUUUGGAGAACAUAAUAAAUAGGACAGAUUCUGUACGAUGAAAUUCGAAUAAUGCCUGUAUGAAUAUUCUUUCCAUUGAAAUACCGUUCAAAACUUUUCCAUUUCAUUCAACUUUCCAUAAUACCUUGUAAAUGUAUUAUUCAUGGUAUCUCAUUUUGUGUAAGACUACUUAAAAACUAUGUAUCUGUACAGGCUUAUCAUAUGUCAUUAAAUGUUAGUUGAAAGUUUUUAUCAAGGUUUUAUCGUCGUAUUUUUAAAGGUGAAUUUAGGUUAAAAAGAAUUAUUGAAGAAUUGAUAUCCCUUAAAUAAUUUUUCCCAAGUUUUUUUUAAAUGUUUGGUAUGUAAAAAUAGAAAUAGAAGGAUUAGUAAAUAGUUUUAAAACAAAAACCACAAGUAUUUUAAAAUUAAAAUCAAUAAUAUUACUAAUAAUCUAAAAUUUCAGUAAAUUAUUAUAUUUUCCUCAAAAUGUACAAAACAUUCCAAAAUAAUAAUUUUAAUCGCUAAAAAAUUCUUAAUAUGUAAAAAAAGUAAUUUUCCCUGUAAACUCGGCGUUGAAUGAAUCAUCCACGUUUUUUAUUUUUAUAAAACUGUUUAAUAAUAUACUCAGUAAUGAUAUGUCAAACCAUAAAAACCCGGACUUAAGUUAUAAUGUUUUUGUUAAAGAAAUUUCGUUGUUUUAAAUAAUUUUUUUACAAAAAGUACUUAAAUUUUCGAAAAUAAAAAUGUUUCAAAUUUAAAUCAUCGAUUUUGUAAAUUGGCUACAAUAUUAUUAUAAUUCUACGUACAGCAGCACAACAAUAUCUUUAUUGACCUCAUAUUUUAACGUAAUGUUACGAUUGUAUUAUACGGAAAACGACGUUCGCAGUGUUACCAUUUUAUCAAAACAGAAUUCAUUAAAAUUAACCAAUUUCAUUCUUUUUAAUUUUUGUAAACUAUGUUUUCUACCAGAAAUAUUGUUCGAAUAGAAAAAUAACAAGUAAUUUUUUUUUUGAAUGUAGUUGGUAGGUAACAAAAAUGUUUUUUGAUUUUUCCUGUAGUUUUUUAAUAGUUGAGCAAAACUAAAAAAAAAUAAAGUAUGCACGGGAAAAUCAAAAAAAAAAAAUUCAUUUGUUUUUCAAUUUUUUUUUUUUUUAUUAUAAUUCAGUUUAAAAUAUUCGUAGAGACUUAAAAUCUGUUUAGAAAAUUGUGUUACGUACUGUGCUUUCUUAGCUUACCAUCAACCGCCACAGAUUAAUUUAUCCGUUGCUGUAACUGUUCGCCAAACCACUAGCGUCACAUCUUUUUCAGACGCAUACACACACAUACACACACACACACACACACACAUAAAUACAUACAGAAAUGGUAGGGUGCCCAAAACGUAUAAAGGUAUACACACACAUGUUGGCCGUUAUCCAAACGGACCUAAAGGUCUUGUCUCUCUGAAUCAGCAUCCCCUAAACACUCGCUUUACGUGUAUCGUCUCGUUCUUUUCCCUUCGCUUGACCUAUUCUGGGUUGGAGUAAACAUUCACCUUUUCCGAUUGCGACGUUUCCUGCGUAUUAUACGCGGAAGACCUAGUUAUUAUGUUUACACUGCGAAAGUACUCGAAAUCCGAAAGGUUAAUUUCCCACACAAGCGCGAGGAACUAAUCGAUUAAUUUUUUUCUACGACGACUGUUUUUGUUUUUUUUUUAUAUUUUAAUAAACGAAUAUUUUAGAUAAAAAAUCAAUUAAAUAUUUUAGUACAGGUUACGAUUUGGCUUAUCAUAUUUCAUAUUUAUCAUUCAGAUUUAAUUUGUAAUUAUCGCGUGAUAUUAAAUGUAUAUGUAGGUAUAUUCUUCACUAGCCUAUGCGCGUAUCUAGGUCAAUACUAUAUGGGGGGGGAAUACAAUUUUUUUGUGAGAGUGCCAUCCACAAGCCACUAACCUAACCCUCUUAAUUAAUCUCAGUUUUCCCUGAAAAUCAAUCUUAAUACACCGCAUAAAUAAACCAACUAGAUAAAAUUACCUUUUAGAAAAGGUGUUAAACUUUAUAGUUCAGAGCAAUUUUCUUGUAGAGAAUUUUCUUACAGACACAAUAAAAAAAAAAAAAAAAAAAAAUCAUAGUAAAACCCUGGCUACGCACUAAAUCUAAAAUUUUUUUAAUUUAACUCAUUUAAAAACAUUUUUUUUUUUUGUUUGGUAUAAAAAAAAACAAGUGUUGUAAAUUCAUGUGCAGUUCUCCAUAGCUAGGAAUAUCUUAGGUUAUGGUUGUGUUGUCCCAAGUUUUACGAGAUUUACCCGUUUACACGUGAGAAAUAACUAAAAUAUAGUCUAAUACGAAAUUAUGGUCAGUGAGCAGAUUUCCAUACUCUACGGAAAGUCACCUUAUUAGUAUUAUGCUUCUCGACAGAGGAGUAUGUGUGCCCUGUUGGAAUCGAUUAUUACAUGCAAAUGAGAUAGAUACAGCGUUGAAUGAAGUAACCUGUAUAAUAACAUAAUACUUGUAACCCAUUACAAUAUCAAAAUUAAACAUAAUGAAUGGAAUCAUCCCGCCAAACAUCAGAUAAGGAGUGUGCAUUAGAGAGGAAAUAACAAAACAUAUAGUAGAUGAUCUGCACCGGAUGAAUAGACAAGUAGCAUCCCUGAAGCGACUUAAAUCUUAAAUCAAGAUAAAAUUUCUUUGGAAUAUGUGAACCUCUAAUAGCGAGACCGAUUAAAAAAGUAGAAAGAGGAAUCAAUCGACUCUGACAUGACGUGAUAAUAAAACAAAUUUCAAAAUAAUCUGGAGCUGUAUGUAAAUGGACUAAAAUGGUAUUACAUAUAAUAUUGUACAUAGUGUAUACGGUAUAAUAUAAUGUAUACAUAAAUCGCAGUAUUGAGGUUGGGCAAUUCAAAUUGAGUUUUGAAUUUCGAAUAAAAGUAUUAGUCUUAAAUUCGUUAAUUUAACUGGUUAUUCGUGAAAAUGAACUGUAAAAAGUUAAGUUUAUGUUACGAAGACAUGGACUAGUUCAGUUAAUGAUCAAAUUACUUAACUAGAAAAGUUUAAAAAAGUUUAACAAAAUUAGCCUUUUAUCUAAUUAAUGCCCUCCUUUGGGUAUUUUCGUAUAUCUUUGUAGAUGCUUGUAUCGAAUUUAAUUCCCGGUGUAGAAUUACUUAUAUUAUUAUAAGAACUCAAAUAUAAAUUGCUUCUUUUUUUUUCUCUGUUUUUUAAUGAACCUCUAUUUUCUUUGUAUAUGUAAGACGCACGGGCAUAGUACUGAAUUCAAAUUAAAAUACCAUUUAUAAUUUGAAUUUCAUUGACACCAUUAAUAUCGUAGAGUUUAGAAGCAUGUCUGGUAAUAAAAAGUCUGAUUUUCUGUCUUUUUAUAACAAAUAACAUUUUUAUUUUAUAUAUGAAACAAUUUUUGUGAUUUUCGGUUGUUUAUCAGAAAUGGUAAUUAUUAACCGUUUAGCAGCGACCUUCCAAAAAUAUUAAUAUUUUUAAAAUGAUUUUGUAGGCAUUAAAUUGAAAUAUUAUUAUUACAAAUACAAAAUAAAUAUGUAUGGUUUUUUUUUUUUUAAAUUUGACGGAAUAAACAUUUGUUUGUUAACAAUUGUCGAUAUAAUUAAAUAAUUAUUAUAAAUAAAUUGAAUAGAUAAUCAAUAAUGAUUUGGUGCAUUAGAAGCUUAGACAUUUUGUGUAGUGAUUUAUUUUUGAUUCGAAUUUCGUCGAUGAUAUUUUUUGUAAAAAAAUAGAAUAGCAUAGUAUGUUAAACCCGAGAUGUAUAGUCAUACUCAAGAUAAAAUAUUAUGCACAUGUUUGUUUUGUAAAUACCUAAUCAACUCCAGCACGUGCUCUCUCCAAUUUCGUGAAAACACGAAGCUACAAUUUGUAUAAAGAAUAGGUAUCUACCGUAGUACCUACGUGAUAUCUUAGAACAUCACUUCAGAAUAAUAUUUGUUCAUUAUAGUUUAAGUCUAACAUUGUAUUGUUGAAUUUAAUAAACACAUUUAUUUGCAUUCUGCAGUGAUGAUUAAAAAAUAUUGCCCGACUGAAUAUUAUAUUAUGUUAUUGUUGUUUAUUUGUAAAGUGUAUAGAAGAUGAAUACUUAUAUAUCAUAUGUAUUUUAAUUCAAUUUGGUUUUUUUGUUUUCAGGUAUCUGAUUUAGAGUUUGAUACGUGUUUUAAAAUUAGUUCAGUUCGUGUACUCGUGUGGCUACUGUAUUUUGAAAACGAAUCAGGUAAAAUCUGC
Molecule: non-coding RNA, 30103 nt
Organism: Cinara cedri
Lineage: Eukaryota; Metazoa; Arthropoda; Insecta; Hemiptera; Aphididae
Source: the annotation of a GenBank genome assembly